CGAGUGCCCCGAGCGUUAUCCGGAAUCAUUGGGCGUAAAGGGUGUGUAGGUGGCAGUGUUAGUCAGUUGUUAAAACCUGGGGCUUAACCCCAGAUGUGCGACUGAAACGGCACAGCUAGAGGAUGCGAGGGAUGUAUGGAACUCAUGGAGUAGGGGUGAAAUCCGUUGAUAUCAUGGGGAACACCAAAAGCGAAGGCAGUACAUUGGCGCAUUCCUGACACUGAAACACGAAAGCGUGGGUAGCGAAUGGGAUUAGAUACCCCAGUAGUCCACGCCCUAAACGAUGAUAACUAGCUUUUCGGAGUAUCGACCCUCUGAGAGGCGAAGCAAACGCGUUAAGUUAUCCGCCUGGGUAGUACGACCGCAAGGUUA
Molecule: ribosomal RNA, 372 nt
Filed under: uncultured organism
Description: bacterial SSU rRNA
Rfam family: Bacterial small subunit ribosomal RNA
Source: RNAcentral